GAUGAACGCUGGCGGCGUGCCUAAUACAUGCAAGUCGAGCGAACAGAUAAGGAGCUUGCUCCUUUGACGUUAGCGGCGGGCGGGUGAGUAAAACGUGGAUAACCUACCUAUAAGACUGGGAUAACUUCGGGAAACCGGAGCUAAUACCGGAUAACAUAUUGAACCGCAUGGUUCAAUAGUGAAAGGCGGCUUUGCUGUCACUUAUAGAUGGAUCCGCGCCGUAUUAGCUAGUUGGUAAGGUAACGGCUUACCAAGGCAACGAUACGUAGCCGACCUGAGAGGGUGAUCGGCCACACUGGAACUGAGACACGGUCCAGACUCCUACGGGAGGCAGCAGUAGGGAAUCUUCCGCAAAGGGCGAAAGCCUGACGGAGCAACGCCGCGUGAGUGAUGAAGGUCUUCGGAUCGUAAAACUCUGUUAUCAGGGAAGAACAAAUGUGUAAGUAACUGUGCACAUCUUGACGGUACCUGAUCAGAAAGCCACGGCUAACUACGUG
This 497-nucleotide ribosomal RNA is filed under the name uncultured bacterium. RNAcentral describes it as "partial 16S ribosomal RNA". It matches the Rfam family "Bacterial small subunit ribosomal RNA", at positions 28 to 507 of the family's 1533-position model. The record is from RNAcentral.